AUACCAUGCUCUUCCGAGGGUAUGGGAUGAUUAUUGGGCUUAAAGCGUCCGUAGCCGGCUUAGCAAGUCUCCUGUUAAAUUCAGCGACCUAAUCGUUGAGCCGCGGGAGAUACUACUAGGCUAGGAGGCGGGAGAGGUCGACGGUACUUCUGGGGUAGGGGUGAAAUCCUAUAAUCCCAGGAGGACCACCAGUGGCGAAGGCUGUUGACUAGAACGCGCUCGACGGUGAGGGACGAAAGCUGGGGGAGCGAACCGGAUUAGAUACCCGGGUAGUCCCAGCCGUAAACGAUGCGGGCUAGGUGUUGGGGUGGCUACGUGCCACUUCAGUGCCGCAGGGAAACCAUUAAGCCCGCCGCCUGGGGAGUACGGCCGCAAGGCUGAAACUUAAAGGAAUU
This 395-nucleotide ribosomal RNA is filed under the name uncultured archaeon. RNAcentral's name for it is "bacterial SSU rRNA". It matches the Rfam family "Archaeal small subunit ribosomal RNA", at positions 473 to 866 of the family's 1478-position model. The record is from RNAcentral.